AUUAAUUUAAAAAAUAUAAAUACAUAUGAAAAACUUUCAAGGAUUAACGAUGCUGAUUACCGUGAUAGUAUGGGCGUGGUUUAAGAGAGCACACCACGUGCGUUUUCAAACAGCGGGACUAACGGACGGACGACUUCAGACUCAGAGCUACUUCGACAUUCAGUGGUAAUUUCACAAAAUAUAUCCUUCAUGGAGUCUGACCGGGACUGGUAUCUCCCGACAUGCUCUGAAGCUUAGGUCCACUAAGAUGUCCCGUUGAUUGAAGCUGACAUGGAGUCACAGUGACAUCCUUAAAAACUGUUGUCAUGUAUAAUACAUCCCUGCAUCUUAAAAUAUUUCUCUGCAUCUUUAAAUAUUUGUUUUUUUAAUUUUUGUCUAUGUUUUAGAUUUAAGUGUUUAAGCUGUUUUUGCCAUGUCUACCUUUU
Molecule: long non-coding RNA, 425 nt
Organism: Triplophysa dalaica
Lineage: Eukaryota; Metazoa; Chordata; Actinopteri; Cypriniformes; Nemacheilidae
Exons: 3
Source: RefSeq, a predicted model, not a curated record